GACGGAGGGUGCGAGCGUUGUCCGGAAUCACUGGGCGUAAAGGGCGCGUAGGUGGCGCGGGCAGUCAACGGUGAAAGUUCGGGGCUCAACCCUGAAUCGGCCGUCGAUACUCCCGUGCUUGAGCACUGUAGAGGCAGAUGGAAUUCCGGGUGUAGCGGUGGAAUGCGUAGAGAUCCGGAAGAACACCGGUGGCGAAGGCGGUCUGCUGGGCAGUAGCUGACACUGAGGCGCGACAGCGUGGGGAGCAAACAGG
RNAcentral lists this ribosomal RNA (253 nucleotides) under uncultured bacterium. Its description in RNAcentral is "partial 16S ribosomal RNA". It matches the Rfam family "Bacterial small subunit ribosomal RNA", at positions 524 to 776 of the family's 1533-position model. The record is from RNAcentral.